Molecule: ribosomal RNA, 393 nt
Filed under: uncultured bacterium
Lineage: Bacteria
Description: partial 16S ribosomal RNA
Rfam family: Bacterial small subunit ribosomal RNA
Source: RNAcentral
AUACGGAGGACGCGAGCGUUAUCCGGAUUCAUUGGGUUUAAAGGGUGCGCAGGCGGCCGUGCAAGUCAGCGGUGAAAGCCCGGGGCUCAACCCCGGAAGUGCCGUUGAUACUGCAUGGCUGGAAUGCGGUCGAGGCGGGCGGAACGGGGCGUGUAGCGGUGAAAUGCGUAGAUAUGGCACAGAACGCCGAUAGCGGAGGCAGCUCGCCAGGCCUGCAUUGACGCUCGGGCACGAAAGCGUGGGGAUCGAACAGGAUUAGAUACCCUGGUAGUCCACGCCGUAAACGAUGGGCGCUCGUCGUCGGCGGCAGACAGUCGGCGGCCAAGCGAAAGCGAUAAGCGCCCCACCUGGGGAGUACGGUCGCAAGGCUGAAACUCAAAUGAAUUGACGGGG